Long non-coding RNA from Eublepharis macularius, 1537 nucleotides. RefSeq lists it as uncharacterized. NCBI's taxonomy places the organism in Eukaryota, Metazoa, Chordata, Lepidosauria, Squamata, Eublepharidae. The record is from RefSeq and is a predicted model, not a curated record. The transcript is spliced from 4 exons.
UAAAAAAAAGCUAAUCUUCUCCAAGAAGCUUACCUGGCUCCUUGAUCUUCACGGGGACAAUUUCUGGAGGGGGAACUGGAACUGAAAGGGAAAGAAAGCCCAAAGAGGUCCUACAAUGCCAGGGACAGGAUCUCUCCGGGGGCCAGAAAGAUGGGAAGGAUGGAGAGGAAGCACAGAACUUACACCUUCCUGACACAGAGUGUGACAACUGCUGUCCCUAACCUAUGCAACUACUCAAUAAAGGAAUCUGCGACUUUCAGUCUGCAACACCUGAGCAACGCUGUUAACGAAAGGAUGCUGUGAAGGCUGUUAACUCACACUGAGUCAGAAGUGACUGGACGGCACACAACACCUUCUCUGCUUUUUUCCUUCCACCGGGGAAGCGAAAGUGGCAGAGGUGUAGCUAAUGGCAGUCUAAGGCUACAGACGGCCACCUGGUCAUACACUUCCAGAUGCCAUGCACUGAACUUUCAUCAAGCGGCUGUUCCAAGGCUCCCAUUUGUGCGGACUCAUCCCCACCAUCAGCUUCAAAGGCAAAGUUAGCGCCAACGGACAGAGAAGCAUGGAAGAACUGAGAGAAUUCUGGGAUCCGACCGCAUCACUUCUCACAAGGUUACCCCCCCGAGAGUCAGGCAGCCGCUCCAUUAUCAUCUUUACAAGAAGCACCUAACGUUGCUUACAUGGGUCGGUCUGAAUAUGUUACGAGGGCAAUUACCGCCAUCGCUUGCAAAGCCCUUCAUGGCUUCAGACCCUCGUAUCUGCAGGACUGCCCCUCCUCCUGUGCCGCAGCACAACCACUUUAUUCACCUGAGCAGGGCCUUCUACAGGCCCAACCCUGCAAAUGGGCAAAACCAACGACUGCUGGUUACAUAUGAAUUCUUUGCAACGGCGUUCUCUCUGUGCAACGGCCCGCCUGAGGAAGUCAGGAAGGCUCCCACACUUCCACCUUUCCACAAACUAUGUGAAGCAGAACUGUUCAGAAGGCAUUUUUUGACAAAGGAAUAGGGCUGCCUUAGAACAGACUGAUUUAGGAAGACAUUUAGACAGAGAGAACAGAUCUGUGGAUUAUACUACUAAUACAUAUAAUCUGUUGCUGUAUGUUUUUAUCUUGCUCCCACUGCACUACAUUUCUACUCAGUGGUGGUGGAGAGUGCCCUCAAGUCAUAGCUGACUUAUGGUGACCCCUGGUGGGGUCAUGGCAAGAGACUAACAGAGGUGGUUUUGCCAUUGCCUGCCUCCGCAACACUGGUCUCCGUUGGAGGUCUCCCAUCCAAUUACUAACCAAGGCCGACCCUGCUUAGCUUCUGAGAUGUGACGAGAUCAGGCUCACCUGGACUGUCCAGGUCAGGGCAUAUUUCUACUUACGUAAUACCAUUUCUUGCAUUGUUUAACAUGUCAUACUUAACACUUAUUGUGCCUUGUUUCAGGUUUAUUAAAUGCCUCUUCAUCCUACUGAGCGUACUGAUUUAUGUUACAUAAUCUACCUUGAAUCUCCGUCAGAAAGGCGGACAAUCCCAUCUAAAUAAAAUGAAAGGAA